Hippocampus comes (tiger tail seahorse) is the source of this 83-nucleotide non-coding RNA. The record is from the annotation of a RefSeq genome assembly. Lineage: Eukaryota; Metazoa; Chordata; Actinopteri; Syngnathiformes; Syngnathidae.
GUUGCCGUGGCCGAGUGGUUAAGGCGAUGGACUUGAAAUCCAUUGGGAUUUUCCCCGCAUAGUUUCAAAUCCUGCCGACAAUG